UGCUCAGCCUCAUAGUCUCACUCCCCAGGGGGCACCCUUAGCUGAGGCAUUGAGUUUUGCCCAUUUUCCUUAAUUGGAUUGUGAUGCACACCCUGUUUGGGGACUGGUUACCUGGGCAACUCACCCGGCUGCUGGUAGCAGCCAGGGUGCAUGUAUUCCCGCGGCUGUUUAGUGUCCCUUGCAUGGAUGGGCCACAUUCACUCACUGUCCCAGUGAGACACGCGGGCCUAUUCCAGCUCAGGGCUCUGGGCCGGGUCCCACACUUCACUGGCCUUUAUUCCUGGGAACAGAACUCCUGGGUCCAAAGGCGCUCUGCCCUUCCUGGGCAGUACCACUGUCUUCUCUGAAAGGGAGCGCGUGUGUACAGGUCCUGGGCUGAGUUCAGGCAGGGACAGCGUCCUCCAGGAGGAUCAGCUGCAGACUGGCCUGGGUGGUGGGAAGGGGCCAACUGCUCAGAGACGGAUGACCGGGGAUGCCUGGCCUAGGGUGUGGAGGGCGGUCAGUGGUGUCCCUGCAGAGACGUGGCUGCUGAGAGGGGUGAUGGCAGGUGUUAGCUACGUGGAGCAACCCGGCAGGAGGAGUGUGGCUGUGAGAGAAGGAUAGUCUGUCCAGACUUGCCGAGCCCACCUCACAGGAGCCACGGUGCAUCACAUGCCCGCUCCCCACCGGCCGCUCAGCAGGAGGCCAGGAGUGCAGUUCACCUCGAUUCUGACCCUCUCCACUGGAGCCAGCAUCACAUUCCACAGCCCGAGGGCUCGGUCCCACCAGACAGCCUCCACUUCAGAUGCCAGUCACAAGCCCAGGUUGUCACCUGUGCUUCUGACCAACAAGAUAUAAAUCAGAGAGCAAAGGGAUGUUGAGACCAAAAAGUGAGCCAACCACUAUAGUUCACCCCCAGCCACGCCUGUGCAUUUCCUGCUCUCACCUCAUAAGGAGCCGCUGUGAUGGAAUUUACGAAAACCUACAUAAGCCUCUGGCCCAUCCUACAUUUUUGGUAGUUAUAGCCCAGGAAGCUGAUUUUGGUGACCUGAGGAAUCCACCGCAGUUAGUUUUCUCCUUUGGUUUUUUAGCCCUUGAUUUUGUUUAUUUUUUAUUUACUGCUUUUUUGGUUUUUAAAUUUUUCAUUCUUUUGUUUUUUAUUUUCCUUUGUUCUCCUCAUUUUUAAAUUUUUUCUCAUUAUUCUUUUUAUUUUUCACACUUUUUUUCCUUUUCUCAAUUUCUUUUUGUUCUUUAAUUUUUUACUUUUCCUUGUUUUUAAAAAACUUUUUAGUAUUGUUAGUAAAGUUAGUACAGUUAGUAUAGUUAGUAUUGUUGGUGUAGUUUGUACAGCUAGCUUCUUUGGUAUAGUUAGUGUUACUCAUUAGCGUAGUUAGGAAGCAUAGGUGGCCUCGUUACUAUUGUUAGUCAGUAUUAGCAUACUGUCAUUUUGUUUGUUAGUGUAGUUAGUAUGCAUAGUUAGCAUCGUUAGUUAGUGUUAUCAGUUAGUGUAGUUAACAGGUCACCAUGCUUCCAG
Molecule: long non-coding RNA, 1513 nt
Filed under: Equus caballus (horse)
Lineage: Eukaryota; Metazoa; Chordata; Mammalia; Perissodactyla; Equidae
Description: lncRNA (ENSECAG00000055561.1)
Source: RNAcentral